Molecule: small nucleolar RNA, 107 nt
Filed under: Bemisia tabaci
Lineage: Eukaryota; Metazoa; Arthropoda; Insecta; Hemiptera; Aleyrodidae
Description: small nucleolar RNA U3
Rfam family: Small nucleolar RNA U3
About the family: Small nucleolar RNAs (snoRNAs) are involved in the processing and modification of rRNA in the nucleolus. There are two main classes of snoRNAs: the box C/D class, and the box H/ACA class.
Source: RNAcentral
AAGACUAUACUUUACAGGCUCAUUUCUGUAGUAGCAUAGUUCUUCCUACUUUCCAAUCUUGGAGAGUCCAAACCCACGAUGAUGAGGUUCCACCCUGUCUUAGAGGU